AUUGAUAAAAAUAUUAUCCCACAUAUAUGCUAGAGGAUAUGGCUCUAGUGUCUCUACCCGACACCGAAAAUGUUGGACUAUGCGGGAAAGCAAGCUGUCG
Molecule: non-coding RNA, 100 nt
Filed under: Ureibacillus sinduriensis
Lineage: Bacteria; Bacillati; Bacillota; Bacilli; Caryophanales; Caryophanaceae
Also listed under: 1 other name
Description: Lysinibacillus sinduriensis Guanine sequence
Rfam family: Purine riboswitch aptamer
About the family: Riboswitches are metabolite binding domains within certain messenger RNAs that serve as precision sensors for their corresponding targets. Allosteric rearrangement of mRNA structure is mediated by ligand binding, and this results in modulation of gene expression.
Source: RNAcentral